RNAcentral lists this ribosomal RNA (440 nucleotides) under uncultured bacterium. RNAcentral describes it as "bacterial SSU rRNA". It matches the Rfam family "Bacterial small subunit ribosomal RNA", at positions 338 to 773 of the family's 1533-position model. The record is from RNAcentral.
CCUACGGGGGGCAGUGGGGAAUAUUGGACAAUGGGGGCAACCCUGAUCCAGCCAUGCCGCGUGUGUGAAGAAGGCUUUCGGGUUGUAAAGCACUUUCAGCGAGGAGGAAGGCCUUAAAGUUAAUACCUUUGAGGAUUGACGUUACUCGCAGAAGAAGCACCUGCUAACUCCGUGCCAGCAGCCGCGGUAAUACGGAGGGUGCAAGCGUUAAUCGGAAUUACUGGGCGUAAAGCGCGCGUAGGUGGUUAGGUAAGCGAGAUGUGAAAGCCCCGGGCUUAACCUGGGAACGGCAUUUCGAACUGUCUGACUAGAGUGUGGUAGAGGGUAGUGGAAUUUCCUGUGUAGCGGUGAAAUGCGUAGAUAUAGGAAGGAACACCAGUGGCGAAGGCGGCUACCUGGACCAACACUGACACUGAGGUGCGAAAGCGUGGGGAGCAAAC